UACAGAGGGUGCGAACGUUGCUCGGAAUUAUUAGGCGUAAAGGGCGCGUAGGCGGCUUGACAAGUCCAAGGUGAAAUCCCUCGGCUCAACCGAGGAACUGCCUUGGAAACUGUCUGGCUCGAGGCCGGGAGAGGGUAGUGGAAUUCCCAGUGUAGCGGUGAAAUGCGUAGAUAUUGGGAGGAACACCGGUGGCGAAGGCGGCUACCUGGACCGGAUCUGACGCUGAUGCGCGAAAGCGUGGGGAGCAAACAGG
This 253-nucleotide ribosomal RNA is filed under the name uncultured bacterium. RNAcentral's name for it is "partial 16S ribosomal RNA". It matches the Rfam family "Bacterial small subunit ribosomal RNA", at positions 524 to 776 of the family's 1533-position model. The record is from RNAcentral.